This 115-nucleotide ribosomal RNA is filed under the name Pteropus alecto (black flying fox). The record is from RNAcentral. Lineage: Eukaryota; Metazoa; Chordata; Mammalia; Chiroptera; Pteropodidae.
GUCUAUGGCCAUGCCAACCUGAACAAGCCAAUGUCUGAUCUCAGAAGCUAAGUAGGGUCGGGCCAGUUAAGUACUUGGGUGAGAGACCACCUAGGAAGCCCAGGUGCUGUAGGCA